RNAcentral lists this ribosomal RNA (18 nucleotides) under Trichoderma asperellum. RNAcentral describes it as "partial 18S ribosomal RNA". Lineage: Eukaryota; Fungi; Ascomycota; Sordariomycetes; Hypocreales; Hypocreaceae. The record is from RNAcentral.
GGGGACUGCGGAGGGAUC